UAGACAGCAGAAGGAAAGAAAACUCAGC
Molecule: non-coding RNA, 28 nt
Filed under: Rattus norvegicus (Norway rat)
Lineage: Eukaryota; Metazoa; Chordata; Mammalia; Rodentia; Muridae
Source: RNAcentral